Molecule: ribosomal RNA, 1395 nt
Filed under: metagenome
Description: bacterial LSU rRNA
Rfam family: Bacterial large subunit ribosomal RNA
Source: RNAcentral
CCCCACACUGACUAGAAAAACCUCUAGCGAUGUUGUAAGGUGAUCGUACCGCAAACCGACACAGGUAGACGGGCUGAAAAUGCUCAGGCGUUGAGAUAAUUAUCAUUAAGGAACUCGGCAAAUUGGCCCCGUAACUUCGGGAGAAGGGGUGCCUGACUUUGUUAUGAGAGCAUGUCUCUCAGAGGCAUUGGUAGGCUUCAAUAAAUUGGCCCAAUCGACUGUUUAACAAAAACACAGGGCUCUGCAAACUCGUAAGAGGAAGUAUAGAGUCUGACGCCUGCCCAGUGCCGGAAGGUUAACGGGAGAUGUUCGUUCGAAAGAGCAAAGCAUUGAACCGAAGCCCCGGUAAACGGCGGCCGUAACUAUGACGGUCCUAAGGUAGCGAAGUACCUUGUCGGGUAAAUUCCGACCCGCAUGAAUGGCGUAACGAGUUGGGCGCUGUCUUGAUGAUACACUCAGUGAAUUUGUAGUGCAGGUGAAAAUGCCUGCUACCCGCAGAAGGACGGAAAGACCCCGUGCACCUUUACUGCAAUUUGACAUUGAUUUUUGAGUUUGUUUGUGUAGGAUAGGCGGGAGACUGCGAAGCUGCGACGCUAGUUGCAGUGGAGUCAACCUUGAAAUACCGCCCUUAUAAAUUUAAAGAUCUAACUUUGAUCCGUAAUCCGGGCAAAGGACAUUGUCUGAUGGGCAGUUUGACUGGGGUGGUCGCCUCCCAAAAUGUAACGGAGGCGUUCAAAGGUUCCCUCAAGAUGUAUAGAAAUCAUCUUAAGAGCGCAAAAGCAUAAGGGAGCUUGACUGCGAGACAUACAGGUCGAGCAGGUGCGAAAGCAGGAUUUAGUGAUCCAGUGGUUCUGUAUGGAAGGGCCAUUGCUAAACGGAUAAAAGGUACGCCGGGGAUAACAGGCUGAUCUCCUCUAAGAGUCCACAUCGACGAGGAGGUUUGGCACCUCGAUGUCGGCUCAUCACAUCCUGGGGCUGAAGAAGGUCCCAAGGGUUAGGCUGUUCGCCUAUUAAAGUGGUACGCGAGCUGGGUUCAGAACGUCGUAAGACAGUUCGGUCCUUAUCCUCUGUGGGCGUAGGGUAUUUGAGGAGGGCUGUUCCUAGUACGCAAGGACCGGGAUGGGUAAACCUCUAGUGUUCCAGUUGUUCUCCAAGAGCAAGCUGGGUAGCCAAGUUUAUUAGAGAUAACCGCUGAAAGCAUCUAAGUGGGAAACUCGCUCCAAGAUUAGAUACCCCUUGCCAAAACGCCCAAAUAAGUAAAUUUCGGUUUACAAGUUUGAUAAAGUUUGGCAUAUUAAUAAGGUCCCUCGAAGACUACGAGGUUGAUAGGUUGGGUGUGUAAGCAUAGUAAUGUGUUCAGCUAACCAAUACUAAUAGACCGAAUGUUUUAACCGC